Non-coding RNA from Microcebus murinus (gray mouse lemur), 6439 nucleotides. The record is from RefSeq and is a predicted model, not a curated record. NCBI's taxonomy places the organism in Eukaryota, Metazoa, Chordata, Mammalia, Primates, Cheirogaleidae.
UUAGCCUUUAGCACCCGGUGACCACACAGCAGUACAUGGCACUUCGAUCUUCUAACCUAACUCUUAGCCAAGUUUUCAAGACUGUCAUGGCCACACACGUGACCCCUUUGCCACGGCUUCGCAAUUUCACCAGACUCUCCCUGCCUUAGCUGAGCAGACACCUCUUGUGGAUGCUUGGGCAGGCCCAGCUGAGGGAAGCUGGGGGCCAGAGAAAUUCCUGCUACCUCCUCCUAUGCAACUCCUGGCCUCAGGCCUCAGGAGCCUCCUGUUGCAACUGCCCCAAAGCAGCUCCCAAUCCAAGGCUGCAAAUGCUUCUGCUCCUCCUCUCUCUGGGCUGGGCCCAGGCCUUGAGGGAGGAGGGAAGGCCAUGCUGUUGUCUCCAAGAGACAGUGCAAAGGUGUCGCUUCUGGUGGCUUCCCCUGGGGUUGCAAACAUGUUUAACUCUAGGAAAUAUGAACUUGCACCCCCAACAGUGCCUCAGACCUCGCCAGCUCUCUGUCUCUACUGGGAAAAUUGGGUCUCCCUCUCUUAUUUGAGUGUAUCUUUAAAAAGCUCAGAUGGGCAGUCAGUACCUGGGAGCUGGAGGCCCAUCUAAUCAGAGCUGGCCUUGACUCCGCAGCUUCCACUGGCCACACUAGGUAUUCCUGGGACAGGGCAUAGUUUUUUCUUUUCUCAUUCAUUCAUUUACCCAUUCAUUAUUCGUUAUUCACUUAGUAGCUAUUGAACAUCCGUAUGCCAGGCAUUAGCUAGGUCCUGGGGAUACAGGCAGUGUAUCAGAGAGCUCCUGGUCUGGUUGACUGGCUGUGUGAAGGGAGCAGGUUUUGGGGGACACCUGGCUGAUAUGAUAUGUGUGAGGUAAGGGUGCCAGCUGAGCCCAGGAAAGGAAGCCAAGAUGCUAUGAGAACCUGAAGACCAGGUUCAGGAUUUUAGCCUUUGUCCCAGAAGCCUUGGGGAGCCUUUGAAGGGUUUUAAGGAGAGGAGAUAUAUGCUCAGAUUUGGGGUUUUUUUGUUUUGUUUUGUUUUUUAAGAGAUGACACUAACUCCUGUCUGGAGCACAAGUUAGAAGAAAGCAAGAGUGUAGGUUGGUCCGGAGGCUCACAGAGUAAUGGAGAGCUCUGGGGAAGAAAUAUUUGAAAUGUAACUCUGGUUGAGAAAAACUGAAGGGCCGUGGGGGUCAGGGAUAUGCUCACUGGGAAGGCAGACACUGGAGGGGAUGAUCGCUAAGUUUAUUAAUAGUUUGGGCGCACGUUGGGUUGUGGUGACAAGAGGGGAUAUUUAGGUAUGGAGUCCACCGGAGCAAUCCGACCUGUAGAUAAAACUCGGUGAAUCAUUUGCUUCUAUAUAGUUCCUCCAUAAGCAUGGGUGAGCUUGCCAGGGAGAAAGACUAGAAAAAAGUGGGUGCCUUAGUCCUUGGGGGGGAGUAGAGGAGGGUGGAGCUCCACAGAAGGCUGAGAAGGAAUGGCCAUAGAAGUAGGAGGGACACCAGAAGAGUGUGUUGUCAUGAUAGCCUUGAGAAAGUAUCUUUGCCUCUCUCCACAGUGCUUUGCCCUUGGGAGAUGGUUUCAUCCCGAGCACGUGGCCUCCAUCCUGAACGUGAGCUGCAGGGAGAGGAGGAGGGAGGACCACUAUCGAUGUCCUCUGGGAAGGGCACAGGGCGGGGGGCCAGCAAAGAGCUGGUGGCAGUGAGAGGAGCGUCUGAGGGUCGGGGGCAGGCCUGGAGAAGCCCGGGGAGUUUGAGGCUGUGGCAGCAUUCUCUGUCUGCAGGACUGCGGGGCUGUGGGUCAGGGACAUCCUAAAUGGUAGGGCACAAGGGAGCCCAGGGGACAGGAGAUGGCAGGGCUCUUUGGAGAUGUUGUGGGGACUGAGAAGCCUGAUUUGAAAGAGGAAAGAGGGGGAGGAGAAUGUGUGAAAUUCAAGAGGGAUGGCAGCGAGGGGGAAAGGCAGGGGUGGUCAGAGGGAGGGCAGGGCCAGCUGGGACAGCUUGCCUCCAGGAUGCACUGGUGUGCAUGGCCCAUUGAGUCUUGAGAUUGGAAGACACUCUUUGUUUUCCCGGCAUAGUCAUGUUUCUUAGAGAAGCAAAAAGCACAAAGAGUUUUCUCUGUAAAAGGUAAGAGAAAAGUCAGAGGGGCAGUGAGGAUGGAAUAAGGGAGACGAGUGAAGGCCCAGCGCAGGAACAGGUGAGGGCUGCGGCGCUGCCGUUCCAAAGGCAGGAGGGCCCUGGAGAAACUCAGAAACUCUCCCACCCAGUCUUUUUAGAGCUGCUCAAAGCAUCCCACGGGUCCAGAGAAAAGGGGCUGUGGAGACACAGGCUGAGAGAAGCUGGGAAGUGUCAGUGGGGGCGGAGAGUGCAGAUGACCUCAUUGGAUAGGGGCAGCCGGUCAGACCCCCAUCCCCCACCCCCGGGGGCCAGCACGCUGCAACCCAGGGCAGGCAGACCCCCUCUAAGCACUGGAUCUGGUCACCCCAGACCAUCCCCAGCUGGGUCCCUCGUGGCAAAGCCCCACCACCCAGAGGCAGGGCAGCAGUCCCGCACAGGGGCAGGCUCAAGCCAUGGCCACAUGAGGAGGCAGGGGUAGGACGAGGUGGGGGUCCUGGCAGAGGGCAAUCACACUCUCAGACUCCCUUUGGAGUAUGGCUUCCUCAAGCCCUCCAAGGCAAGAUAUGUGUUGGGACAAAGACAUGGGUUUUCUGGGGGAAACAGCAGGCUGAUCCUUGGCCCCAGAGGAGGCCAAAGUUGAAGGAACAAUUUUGGAGAAGUUCCCCCAAGGAUGGCAGCACGGUGCCUCCAGGCCUCAAUGUCUCCAUGUAUCAAAUGCAGACAAUAGAGUCGUCCCUGCCUCACAGAGCUGUUGUGAAGGUUCCAUGAGUUAAUUUGUGUAUAGAAUAGUUAGAUCAGCCAGACACAUCACAAAUGCUUCUGGUUUCACCAGGCACUGCCCAUUUACAUGACAUGCUUGGACUUUGUAGGUACAAACCACAUCUCCCAGGUGACCCCGUGCUGCUCAGAAAGUACACAUUUCAAGUUAAAGCUUGAACAAUAAUGAUGAUGAGGUUCAGUUUUAGGAUUACAUAGUAGGACAGUUUGGAGAAAUUGUUUUCUAAGAACGCUUAUUACAGUGGAAGGGAUACAGAAUGAGGGGUUGUAAGACCACAGCUGUUAUCGUCAUCAGUGUUAGGGGCUGGGAAUUCAAUGGCCAACAGAUAGAGAUGGUGCCUGCAUGAAUGGAGAUGAUGAUUCUGUUGGAGAGAUGGACAAAAAAAAAAAAAGAGUUACAAAAUGAUUACAAAUUAUGAUUAAUGCUAUGAAGGAGACAAAACAAUAGGAUAACAGGAUAGGGUUUUGUACUUUAGGUCAUGGAAAUCUUAUCUGAUGAGGGAAUGUGAGCUGAGUGUUGGCCACCCAAAAGCAGGGGUGGAGGUGUUCGGGAGGUACGGAGGCCAUUCUGGGUAGAAAAUGGUUUCCUUUCUCCAUAAGGUGAUAUUAGGCUCUGUGAAUGUUGGUUUCUACAUUUGUAAAAUGAGGAUCAUCUUACCUACCUACCUCUGUGACCACACAGAGUUGGUGUGAGGGCAAAAUGAAAUGACAUGGAAGGAUUUUGUUAACCAUAGAUGGAUGGGUAAACCAAAAGUCCUAAUGAGAACUUCCCAAUGAGGGAAGAACUCACUGAUAGUUUUCUCUCAUUUUUUUUCUAUCCUUUAAAUUUGGAUAUAAAGGAUCCAAAUUUGGAUUUAAAGGAUCCAAAUUUGUCUCAUGUGCAUAAUGUGUCUGUAACAGAGUGGUUGACGUUCAUGUUGAGAAGAAAUGACCUUAGAGUUGAGAAUAGCAGUGCAAGGAGAUGAGGGUGUGGAAGGGAUACAAAGAUGAUUCUCUGGGCAGGAGGCAGCUGAGCUGAGUCUUGGAAGAGGAGGAGGAGGUUGCUAGUUCUUGUAAAGCUGAAAAGCGAAGAAGAUUUUAGUGUGGGCAGUUGGCCUACAUUUAAGUCUUCAGUAGACAUCACUCUUUCUCUAACUGCCCUCAGGGAAGGUCAUAUUUGAUGUUACUUAUCUUCACCAAUCCCCCUUUGAGUUUCAGAGCUAGAAAGGCAGACAUGCUUUUUGCUGGGUGCUCAGAAAUGGAACUUUCAACCAGCAGGUCAUCCGCAAAUGUCUGAUGAACUGAGGGGGACACUCCAAAGAUGGGAGGCAUCCAGGGGAAGCACGGCUAGGCAAUCCCUCUGCCUUGGCUGUUUGAUGUGACAAUCAUGGACUGUGCCAAGCUGCUGAUUACAUCACAGGGAAACUGCAAACCCUGGUGACCACCUGGCCGUGCCCACAGCUUCCGAAUUGGGUUCUCUGGUUGAGCGCUCUUGUACUGGUGAUUCUGAGAAAGUUUAGGGAGAAAGAAACAUCACCCAUUGGUGAAGAAGUUGCCCAGAGCUGGAUCUAGCAAGGUCACUUUCUGAUAAAGACAUUUCUCAGCUACACUUUCAUCUCAAAAGACCGAAGCACUGAAGAGGCUCUCAGGCAGCCUUCAGUGACAGGGUGAGAGAAGGACCCCUCUUGAAGGGAAGGAGGAGGGAAGAAAGGGGAUCUAUUUCAUCCGGCAGGGGAACAUGGGAAGGAGAAGGGCUCGAUCUUGAGAUGCUGUGGGGUUUAUGUUUCCUGUGGCCUGCUCGGGGCUAUUUUCCUGCUGAAUCUGAGCCCCAUGUUGGAGGGCAUUUUGAACUGGGUCCAGGGAAAGCACUUUCUCAAGCUAAGUGAGCCUUUGACUUUUGAAACUGUAAAAUUAGUUCUUGUGAAUGCCCCACGUGUAGGUGACGAGGAGAAGGAAAAGGAAGGCUCUUGGGUAAGGAAAGUGUAGAAUAGGCAAGAGAAAUGAAUGGUCCUGGAUGGGAAAGAGACAAGAGAAGCUGAGGGGCCUCUGAGGGUUGAUUCCUAAGGUCAUGGGGAAGGAAGACACUAUUCAGUGUUAACUGAAAUGACUGACACUGGCAAUGGCAGACACGAGGACGUUCAGCCUCAGAUCAUGACGAGGCUCUGGACUCAGCGGGAAGUGCCACUCAUGGAGAGCGGUGAUGCAGAGACCCCUCUCAUCCAGUGGAAGAAAGACCCCACGUUGUGAAGUGGUCAGUUCUACCCAAACAGACCGAUGCAUUUCACACAAUUUCCGAACAAAGUUGCAGUGGGAUUUUUUUUUUUUUUUUGAGCUUAGAAUUGGUAUUUCUACUAUGUAUUUGGAAGAAUUUAUUUUUGAAGAACAAAUGAAACUAGUUCAGAGAAAAAGAACAAGAAAUAAAAUAAGAGAGCAAAAGCUUGCGCUGUUGGAUUUUAAAGCAUAUUUCGAAUCUGAAAUCAUCUAAACAGCAUGAAGCCAGUGGCCAAAUAGAUGAAUGACAAAGAACAGAAAACCCAAAUAUAGGUAUGAAGAAAAAGGCAAGAGUGGAUCUGUGAAGCGCCUCAACUUCAGCGGAGCUGGGAGAGCAAAUGCAGCCACUCCAACUGCACCCCUAGCUGAUGCGAAUGGUCUUCCUGUUUGCUGAGAUUCUUCCUCUCUCUCCUUUCCCGCCACCAAUAUGGCCACCCUGUAGGCGACAGAUGUAAGCUUCCAUCCAUCUUUGAAUGUAUCGAGGAAGUGAUUUUUACCUAAUAAAGGUGGCAUUCCAAGUCAAUGUCAAUCAUGCGGUGCUAGAAAAUGCAUGAGACCUUCUCUUUCCUCCAAUCAGCAACUGGUCACUGAGGGCAUAUUGUAGCCAAGCUCUGGGCUCUGGAAACUGCCCCCUCAAGGAGUGCACCCCCCAGCUAGACAGAGGAGCUUCAGGCCAUGCAAAGUCAAUGAAGCUCUGCUGUCCACUAGCGCUGGGGGCAGAAUUGUGUAAGAGGAAGGUCUGCACCUGACCAAGACACGUCUGUGAGAAGUCCUUAUCUCCAACCGUAAUCUGGUUCCAGGUGAUUUUACCCCCGCUCGGUCUUUAAGUCGGCUGUUUCCUCUGAGCACAGAAGGAAAUCCCCGCGCAGGGGAUGCUCCGCCCAAGGACAAGGACCUGGAUGAACAUCGGGCUGACUGGAGCCUCUGGGUCUGGUGAGGCACAGAUGUUUUCUGAAGAUUCUGGAUGUACCUUGCCACACCUGGACUAUGCUUCAUUUUCCUUGCAGGGGAAAAGAACUUUUCUUUUUCCGUCACCAUUUUAAAAAUCUUUCUAUGCAUUUAGAAAACCUAGUUCAGACAUACGAAGAACUCUGGGAUGAAAUCUCAAAGCCGGGCCUGGAGGUUUGGCCACGUGGUUUCUACCAGACAAACCAUUAUAAUUACGCAUCAGAACCACUCACAGGGCCUUGGAAAUUCUCUUCUCUGUAUGUCCCAUUAAGUUUGGGAGGCACCAAAGCCCUGAUGACAAUGGGAAAUGAUAAAACAUCAUAUGGAAUUUUAACAUCAUAUGGAUAAAACAUCACAUGGAAGCUA